AGAGUUUGAUCAUGGCUCAGGACGAACGCUGGGGCGUUAACACAUGCAAGUCGAGCGGAAAGGCCCUUCGGGGUACUCGAGCGGCGAACGGGUGAGUAACACGUGAGUAAUCUGCCCCUAGCUCUGGGAUAGCUCCGGGAAACCGGGAUUAAUACCGGAUACGACCACCUUAGACAUCUUUUGUGGUGGAAAGAAUUUCGGCUAGGGAUGAGCUCGCGGCCUAUCAGCUUGUUGGUGGGGUAACGGCCUACCAAGGCGACGACGGGUAGCCGGCCUGAGAGGGCGACCGGCCACACUGGGACUGAGACACGGCCCAGACUCCUACGGGAGGCAGCAGUGGGGAAUAUUGCGCAAUGGGCGAAAGCCUGACGCAGCGACGCCGCGUGGGGGAUGAAGGCCUUCGGGUUGUAAACCCCUUUCAGCAGGGACGAAGCGAAAGUGACGGUACCUGCAGAAGAAGCGCCGGCUAACUACGUGCCAGCAGCCGCGGUAACACGUAGGGCGCAAGCGUUGUCCGGAAUUAUUGGGCGUAAAGAGCUCGUAGGCGGUCUGUUGCGUCCGCUGUGAAAACUCGGGGCUUAACCCCGAGCCUGCAGUGGAUACGGGCAGACUAGAGGUAGGUAGGGGAGAAUGGAAUUCCCGGUGUAGCGGUGAAAUGCGCAGAUAUCGGGAGGAACACCGGUGGCGAAGGCGGUUCUCUGGGCCUUACCUGACGCUGAGGAGCGAAAGCGUGGGGAGCGAACAGGAUUAGAUACCCUAGUAGUCC
RNAcentral lists this ribosomal RNA (766 nucleotides) under uncultured bacterium. Its description in RNAcentral is "bacterial SSU rRNA". It matches the Rfam family "Bacterial small subunit ribosomal RNA", at positions 8 to 796 of the family's 1533-position model. The record is from RNAcentral.